Molecule: ribosomal RNA, 573 nt
Filed under: uncultured bacterium
Lineage: Bacteria
Description: partial 16S ribosomal RNA
Rfam family: Bacterial small subunit ribosomal RNA
Source: RNAcentral
UGGGGAAUCUUCCGCAAUGGACGAAAGUCUGACGGAGCAACGCCGCGUGAGUGAAGAAGGUUUUCGGAUCGUAAAACUCUGUCUUUUGGGGCGAACGUGAGUAUGGUGAACAAUCAUAGUCAGUGACGGUACCAAAGGAGGAAGCCACGGCUAACUACGUGCCAGCAGCCGCGGUAAUACGUAGGUGGCAAGCGUUGUCCGGAAUUAUUGGGCGUAAAGAGCGCGUAGGCGGGAUAGUCAGUCUGUUGUAAAGUGCGGGCUCAACCCCGUGAUCGCAAUGGAAACAGCUAUUCUUGAGUGCAGGAGAGGAAAGUGGAAUUCCCAGUGUAGCGGUGAAAUGCGUAGAUAUUGGGAGGAACACCAGUGGCGAAGGCGACUUUCUGGACUGUGUCUGACGCUGAGGCGCGAAAGCCAGGGGGAGCGAACGGGGAUUUAGAUACCCCCGGUAGUCCUGGCCGUAAACGAUGGGUACUAGGUGUGGGAGGUAUCGACCCCCUUCCGUGCCGGAGUUAANGCAAUAAGUACCCCCGCCUGGGGAGUACGGUCGCAAGACUGAAACUCAAAUGAAUUGAC